AUGGUGAAGGUCGAAAGGUCUCGUAAUCGCACAGUUGUUCCAUCGAUCGUGCACAGUCUUCCAAUUCUGAUUCUCUUCCUCCUUACCUCUGUCGCCUCAUUGCAAGGUUAUACAUUGCCAGAGGAAGCACAACAUGUUGCUGACAGUGAAGGUAUUUGGAAAGCAAUUGAAUCUGCAGAAGAGAAAGCUUUAGGAAAUGGACAAGGAUACAACCAAAACUUGGCACUUUCUAUGGACAAGACAAUGCCGAAACCGUGGGAAAUGAGAGACCAGACAUAUUUUGGAGAUAGACAAGGGUACACACCAAAUACGGCAAAAUCUCUGGACAAGGCAACAAUGAAACAGUGGGUAAUGAGAGACCAGACAGAAGAGGGAGGUCGUGAAAGUGAGGUGCAGGAUGAUGUAAAUGCAUAUAGCGAGGACUGGAGAAGUAGAGAGGUUGAGAAACAAAAAGAGGUCGUACAUGAUUCUACAGAAGACAAAGGCAACGUGAGCAACAAAGGAGAUACGCAUGAAGAAGGAGAUGCAGAAAGCUUGGCUAAACUUCUGGAGACUGCACUUUUGAAUCAGUGGAUAGAGGAACAGCCAAGUGAGGAUAAAGUAACUGGAUAUCCAGGUACAGAGAUACCGGGGGAGAGUGAGGAAAACAACUGGGGGGAAGAGGGAGAAACAUCCGAAGAUUCACAAGUUUGGAAAACGUGGUGGGAAGAGGACAAUAACAAAACUGAAAAAGAACAAAAGGAAGACAUUUUGUGGGAAGAGGAUACAACUCGCAAAACAGAAACAGGUAAAACAGAAAUGGGAAAGACUGGAGGUGCGGACGGAGACGGAGUUACUGUUGGAGGAGAGGGGGAUGGAAGUGCAGGAGGAACAAAGGAAGUUACUGAAGGAAAGACUGGAGAUGAAGUCGGGGUAAAAGGAGAUGAAGAAUAUCAAACAGAAAAUUUCCAGUUGAACACUGAACAGAAUUGGGGGAAAUGGAAGAAAGUUGAAGAAGAUCAAGAGAAUAAAAACAUUUUCGAAGGAAAAGACAAUUAUACUCAAGUCACGAAAAAUACAAGCUGGAAUCCAGGCAUUGAACUUGACCCAGUUUUCCUCUUUGUGAUCAUGGCACUGGGAAUUGCAGUUGUCAUCAGUGCAUUUGUCACCUUGAUCUGGUUCUUGAAAUCACGACAACACGUGGGUUUCCACCGAAUCAAACAAACAGAUGAUGACAUGGAUGAACAAAUGGAAGAUGAUCCAUUCAACCAUUAUCACAAAUAGAAAAAGAACUUAAGUUAGCUCACCAGCUCGCUUGGAUGUUUGGGUCUUCGUGGUAUUUUCAAUAUGCCGGUCAUGGUUAUAGUUAAACAAUUCUAGAGAGGAAGAAAGGAAAGGGUAGGAAGUACGGGAACAUACAUCGUUGAGUUAUUUUAUCAGGUUAUAGUUCAACAAUUCUGGGUAACAUACAUCGUUGAGUUAUUUUAUUAAUGAAUGUCGGUUGGAUGAGAAAAUGGGGUUCCAUGGGGAUGAAACUCUUCUUUGUGGAAUCACUGAAGUUACAAUGACACAUUUGCAUAUUCCUUCAAAAACGAUUCAUUGAAUCUUCAGCUUUUUGUUGGUCACAUGAAUUAUCAAUGCUCUUAUUACACUUUAUAAAAUGUUCUUUGUGGAGGAUUCCGUUUGUGUCCAUCUUAGUCACGAUUGGUGGAAAUGACAAAGGUGUGACGGAGCAAAGGUGGAUGAAGAAAACCUUAAAAUCACCCCCAAGCCACCAUAUUAAUCAUAUUCAUUCGUGCUGACGAUUUCAGGCUUGUGAAGAGGCAUCUAAUAAACUCAAUACAAGGUGCGGUAUAUCAAAACAUAGGGGCAAUACCCCUUGGGUGCUCACCUGCUAGUGGCUGGAGAAGAUAACCAGGGAACCACUGGAAGGCGUGGAUGACCCACAAAAUAUAUAAUGGAGAAGAAAGUAAAUGCCUAUGGAUUUUUUUUAAUGUCAUGAACAAACCUUGGUACAUCACGGGUGAUGAAGGUUGUGAUUAAGUUUCAUCGAAAUCUUAUGUGUAGUCUCAGAGAAGAAGUUGCAAGUAUUUGUGAAUGAACCGAUUGACUGACGGAUGAUGCGCCAAUCCCAAAAGCUCCCCGGUACUACAUUCCAGGUGAGCUAAAUAAAACAAACAUCCCAUGGAAAAAUUUCCAUGAAGGCGUUAACACACAUCUACAGGGUCGUAAAAACCAAAUCCAACUUCUUGAUCCUCGAUAAAUUUUAAAAUAUCUGGGAUAAAAAUAAAAGUCGAAAUGAAUUAGAUGGUAUUCAUAGAAUUCACACCCCGUGCAGUUUCGAGAAGGACUUGGUGCGAGCCGACUCUUUUGUCACCAAACCAACUCAAAUCCACAUAGCUUUGUCAUAACUCGUCCACAACUUUUUGAAAUACGAUUGUACGAGGUUUUUAACCUUCUCUCUCAAGUUUAGAAAUCUGGCCCAUGUUGACAUUUUGACCGCAACAAUAAUUAGUGGUUGAUUUCAGUAACCUCAUGUGCAAAUCCUCUUCAAAUUUCAAGUCAAUCAGAUUUUAAAAAAAGACAAUUUUAGAAAUUGGGCCCUUGUUGACCUUUUCGCCUAUAUUGACCUCAAAAUAAUUGGUGGUUGAAUGAAAUGAGAUGAUGUGAAAAUCUUGUUCAAAUUUCAAGUGAAUCGGAUGAAAAAUGAGGAUUUCAGAAAUUUGGCCUAUGUUGACCUAAAAGUAGUUAGUGGUUGAAUUCAGACUUGAUGUGCAAAUCCUCUAAAAAUUUCAAGUCAAUCAGAUCAAAAUUGAGUAUUUUAGGAAUCGGCCUAAGUUGAUCUCAAAAGAGUGACCGCGAGAUCACAUGGUCAUGUAACAUUUGGUAAAGUUUCAAUUUCUUCCGCUGAACAGUUUUCGAUGUACCCUCUUAACAAAAUGCAGACACGUACGAUGGGCGUACGACGUACGACGUAUGCCGUAUGCCACCGAUCGCUUAACCCCACUUUUUACUUCACUAGCGCAUGUUAAUGAAACAAUUAAAACAAACAGACAAACAAACGGACACAAAUACAAUACCCUCUCCUCUGGCGAGGCGUACGAGAACGGCACUCGGUAGAGUACAUACUAUCCUGGAAUGGCCUACAUGUCCAGAUUCUUGAAGAAGAAUGUUCCAGGAAAUUUAACCAACACUCACAGAGGUUUAAAUCAUUUUCUUAAUUUAAAUCACUCCAACAGCAUCGGUAAAAAAAAA
Molecule: long non-coding RNA, 3234 nt
Filed under: Eptatretus burgeri (inshore hagfish)
Lineage: Eukaryota; Metazoa; Chordata; Myxini; Myxiniformes; Myxinidae
Description: lncRNA (ENSEBUG00000017437.1)
Source: RNAcentral